AUAUUGCACAAUGGAGGAAACUCUGAUGCAGCAACGCCGCGUGAGGGAAGAAGGUCUUCGGAUUGUAAACCUCUGUCCUCGGUGACGAAAAUGACGGUAGCCGAGGAGGAAGCUCCGGCUAACUACGUGCCAGCAGCCGCGGUAAUACGUAGGGAGCAAGCGUUGUCCGGAUUUACUGGGUGUAAAGGGUGCGUAGGCGGCAAUGCAAGUCAGAUGUGAAAACUAUGGGCUUAACUCAUAGAUUGCAUUUGAAACUGUGUCGCUUGAGUGAAGUAGAGGCAGGCGGAAUUCCCGGUGUAGCGGUGAAAUGCGUAGAGAUCGGGAGGAACACCAGUGGCGAAGGCGGCCUGCUGGGCUUUAACUGACGCUGAGGCACGAAAGCAUGGGUAGCAAACA
RNAcentral lists this ribosomal RNA (396 nucleotides) under uncultured bacterium. RNAcentral's name for it is "bacterial SSU rRNA". It matches the Rfam family "Bacterial small subunit ribosomal RNA", at positions 361 to 774 of the family's 1533-position model. The record is from RNAcentral.